RNAcentral lists this ribosomal RNA (468 nucleotides) under uncultured bacterium. Its description in RNAcentral is "partial 16S ribosomal RNA". It matches the Rfam family "Bacterial small subunit ribosomal RNA", at positions 28 to 507 of the family's 1533-position model. The record is from RNAcentral.
GACGAACGCUGGCGGCGUGCUUAACACAUGCAAGUCGAACGGAAAGGCCCUGCUUUUGUGGGGUGCUCGAGUGACGAACGGGUGAGUAACACGUGAGUAACCUGCCCUUGACUUUGGGAUAACUUCAGGAAACUGGGGCUAAUACCGGAUAGGAGCUCCUGCUGCAUGGUGGGGGUUGGAAAGUUUCGGCGGUUGGGGAUGGACUCGCGGCUUAUCAGCUUGUUGGUGGGGUAGUGGCUUACCAAGGCUUUGACGGGUAGCCGGCCUGAGAGGGUGACCGGCCACAUUGGGACUGAGAUACGGCCCAGACUCCUACGGGAGGCAGCAGUGGGGAAUAUUGCACAAUGGGCGGAAGCCUGAUGCAGCAACGCCGCGUGCGGGAUGACGGCCUUCGGGUUGUAAACCGCUUUCGCCUGUGACGAAGCGUGAGUGACGGUAAUGGGUAAAGAAGCACCGGCUAACUGCGUG